This 640-nucleotide ribosomal RNA is filed under the name uncultured Actinomycetes bacterium. Its description in RNAcentral is "bacterial SSU rRNA". It matches the Rfam family "Bacterial small subunit ribosomal RNA", at positions 232 to 885 of the family's 1533-position model. The record is from RNAcentral. Lineage: Bacteria; Bacillati; Actinomycetota; Actinomycetes.
CGCGGCCUAUCAGCUUGUUGGCGGGGUAACGGCCCACCAAGGCAACGACGGGUAGCUGGUUUGAGAGAACGAUCAGCCACACUGGAACUGAGACACGGUCCAGACUUCUACGGAAGGCAGCAGUAGGGAAUCUUGCGCAAUGGGGGAAACCCUGACGCAGCGACGCCGCGUGCGGGAUGACGGCCCUAGUGGUUGUAAACCGCUUUCAGCAGGGACGAAAAUGACGGUACCUGCAGAAGAAGUCCCGGCUAACUACGUGCCAGCAGCCGCGGUAAUACGUAGGGGACAAGCGUUGUCCGGAUUCAUUGGGCGUAAAGAGCUCGUAGGCGGUUCAGUAAGUUGGGUGUGAAAGCUCCGGGCUCAACCCGGAGAGGCCACUCAAUACUGCUGUGACUAGAGUCCAGUAGAGGAGCGUGGAACUCCUGGUGUAGCGGUGAAAUGCGCAGAUAUCAGGAAGAACACCGGCAGCGAAGGCGGCGCUCUGGGCUGGUACUGACGCUGAGGAGCGAAAGCAUGGGUAGCAAACAGGAUUAGAUACCCUGGUAGUCCAUGCCGUAAACGUUGGGCACUAGGUGUGGGAGGGAAUCAACCCCUUCCGUGCCGUAGCUAACGCAUUAAGUGCCCCGCCUGGGGAGUACGG